This is a long non-coding RNA of Daphnia magna, 557 nucleotides long. RefSeq lists it as uncharacterized. Lineage: Eukaryota; Metazoa; Arthropoda; Branchiopoda; Diplostraca; Daphniidae. The record is from RefSeq and is a predicted model, not a curated record. The transcript is spliced from 2 exons.
GGGGUCAACAUACAUAUCGUCAGAAAGCGGCUUAUGCUAUCGCUAAGUAGCACGUUUUGCUAUUUAUUCGUUUCAAUGACAAAAGUUUUUUCAAAACCUAUUUGUUUGAAAGACUACUAUUAAAAAAAAUAGUUAAGAGUUUCGAUCGCGUCACUGAUAUUGAGAAAAUAGUUUAUCGUAAAUCAGAUACUUACAGCACUCUUCGUUUCGGAUACUACAUCAUAAACGUAAACAACUAGGUUUUAGCCAAGAAAUGGAACUAGCAGACGCAGUGAAACAAUAAGCAGACGAAAAUGAGACGUCCUUUUUAAAUUAUUGUAAUGGAACCCAUCGUUGAAGUGAUUAUUGUCUGAGGGUCGGCGAUCGAUAGUAGGCAUACCAUGGAUAGAGAGCAUUUGAGCAAGUUGAACAGCAUGAAUCCUUAGGGUUGAAAAGCAACGUAAUCUCGCUUAUUGUAAGGUUGGCAUUGUUUGUUGAGUGCAUCUCUAAGAAUCCCGUUUAAUUCCUGGGUACUAUGUAAUCCAACGUCAAUAAACACAACUAACAUUUCAGGUGAA